Molecule: ribosomal RNA, 321 nt
Filed under: Priestia flexa
Lineage: Bacteria; Bacillati; Bacillota; Bacilli; Caryophanales; Bacillaceae
Description: bacterial SSU rRNA
Rfam family: Bacterial small subunit ribosomal RNA
Source: RNAcentral
UUGGGGGGGUGCCUAAUACAUGCAAGUCGAGCGGACUUGUUAGAAGCUUGCUUCUAACAAGUUAGCGGCGGACGGGUGAGUAACACGUGGGUAACCUGCCUGUAAGAUGGGGAUAACUCCGGGAAACCGGAGCUAAUACCGAAUAACACUUUCGCUCGCAUGAGCGGAUGUUAAAAGACGGUUUCGGCUGUCACUUACAGAUGGACCCGCGGCGCAUUAGCUAGUUGGUGAGGUAACGGCUCACCAAGGCGACGAUGCGUAGCCGACCUGAGAGGGUGAUCGGCCACACUGGGACUGAGACACGGUCCAGACUCCUACGGG